This 254-nucleotide ribosomal RNA is filed under the name uncultured bacterium. RNAcentral describes it as "partial 16S ribosomal RNA". It matches the Rfam family "Bacterial small subunit ribosomal RNA", at positions 524 to 776 of the family's 1533-position model. The record is from RNAcentral.
UACGAAGGGGGCUAGCGUUGUUCGGAAUUACUGGGCGUAAAGCGCGCGUAGGCGGUUUUGCAAGCCAGAGGUGAAAUGCCUGAGCUCAACUUAGGAAUUGCCUUUGGGACUGCGAGGCUUUGAGGACUGGAGAGGUGAGUGGAAUUCCCAGUGUAGAGGUGAAAUUCGUAGAUAUUGGGAGGAACACCAGUGGCGAAGGCGGCUCACUGGACCGGAACUGACGCUGAGGCGCGAAAGCGUGGGGAGCAAACAGG